AGUCACUGACAUUAGAUACCCGUGUAGUCCAGGGUGUAAACGCUGCAGACUUGGUGUUGGAAGCCCUUUGGGGGCAUUCAGUGCCGGAGAGAAGUUGUUAAGUCUGCUACUUGGGGAGUACGUCCGCAAGGAUGAAACUUAAAGGAAUUGGCGGGGAGCACCACAACGGGUGGAGCCUGCGGUUUAAUUGGACUCAACGCCGGAAAUCUCACCGGAUAGGACAGACAUAUGAUAGUCGGGCUGAAGACUCUACUUGAUGAUCUG
Molecule: ribosomal RNA, 264 nt
Filed under: uncultured archaeon
Lineage: Archaea
Description: partial 16S ribosomal RNA
Rfam family: Archaeal small subunit ribosomal RNA
Source: RNAcentral